AACUGAUGAACAGCAAAUGCUUCUUCUAAGUUACACCUCUAGGUGGAUAUUUUGGGCAUCUUCGGGCGAAGUCAUUUGGAGACCCUCGUUCAUGGAUGAGAUGUAAUGGACGAGAUAAGAUCUAUGGCAAUUUAAUUUCCAGUUUCACGGCAGCGGGGCAGGAUCUCAUGCGGGCCCGUAUCCACGAUCGGCGGUAUAUUUUUGUUCGCCGAGGAGUAUUGACAGGCCCCAGGAGGCCAAUGGCGGCGGCGGCUGUGGCAGCGAUAGAGGCCGCAAGAGAACGAGGAGAAGUCGGUAACUUAACUGGCCUAAAUGGGUUUAACUCGAUGUGAUUUUGCUGGCGAACCACUAAAUUGAACGAAUACGAACUAAACUGAACUCAACUAAGCUAAUCAUAUCACAUUACUAGCGUUAUUAGCUGAGCGACGAUAUAAGUGAAGGUCCGGUGAGCAACGGGCUGCAGUGUAACGCAGUCUCCUGCACUGACCCUCCGCAUCCGCGACUUUCUCUUGCAUUCAUCUGUCGCGUAUCCUCCAUCUUGUUCUUCAUCGGCGUAGUGUGAACAUGACCUACUACAAUUGUGCCACCGUCGCCACCGACUGUCCGUCACCGUCGCGUCAGGUGUUUGAGUUUCACGAUGUCGUUGGAAGAAUAGUCAAGACAAAAUUAAAGCGAGUGACCUAAAAGCGGAAGUGAUCCUUUUUUAUUGAAGGGUGAGAAAAGGGUGAUCAACGGAGAUAAAUGAGGAAGGAGAAAUUCGAGUACUCCCUACCUCACAGCGACUGGAUUGGACGAAACCUGAAAAGAGAUAAGAGAUGAAGACGAAUGCGAUACGUCGUUGCCCCUCCAGCGCGGUUACUGAGGGGCAAAGUAGCUCGGCCCCUUUAAACUCCACCUCUCUUCGGCUACGUCUUCCACCGCUGUGACUAUCAUAGUCAAAUUAGCUUGCAGUAUUAACUUAUACUAUGCAGUAUUACUUCAUACAUACGAGUAUAUUAGUAAUCAAUUAGUAUAUUCCUUUUUUAGCUAUGUGCUACAUGUGUCGCAUUCACGAAAUAAGAUAGAUAUGUAAUGAAAUAUUGGAAGAAUAAAAUGUUAGCAGUUUCACAGAAAUACAGAGAUGUAACCAAUGAA
This is a long non-coding RNA of Ooceraea biroi (clonal raider ant), 1134 nucleotides long. RefSeq lists it as uncharacterized. NCBI's taxonomy places the organism in Eukaryota, Metazoa, Arthropoda, Insecta, Hymenoptera, Formicidae. The record is from RefSeq and is a predicted model, not a curated record.